RNAcentral lists this ribosomal RNA (468 nucleotides) under uncultured bacterium. Its description in RNAcentral is "partial 16S ribosomal RNA". It matches the Rfam family "Bacterial small subunit ribosomal RNA", at positions 28 to 507 of the family's 1533-position model. The record is from RNAcentral.
GACGAACGCUGGCGGCGUGCUUAACACAUGCAAGUCGAACGGAACGGCCCUGCUUUUGUGGGGUGUUCGUGUGGCGAACGGGUGAGUGACACGUGAGUAACCUGCCCUUGACUUUGGGAUAACUUCAGGAAACUGGGGCUAUUACCGGAUAGGAGCUCCUGCUGCAUGGUGGGGGUUGGAAAGUUUGGGCGGUUGGGGUUGGAAUCGCGGCUUGUCCGCUUGGUGGUGUGGUAGGGGCACUCCAAGGCUUGGACGGGUAGCCUGCCUGGGAGGGUGGCCGGCCAGAUUGGGACUGAAAUACGACACGGACUCCUACGGGAGGCAGCGGUGGGGAAGAGGGUACAACAGGCGGAAGCCUGAUGCAGCAACGCCACGUGCGGGAGAACGGCAUGCGGUUUGUAAACCGAUUUCGCCUGGGACGAAGCGUGAGUGACGGUAAUGAAUAAAGAAGCACCGGCUAACUACGUG